This 301-nucleotide ribosomal RNA is filed under the name uncultured bacterium. Its description in RNAcentral is "partial 16S ribosomal RNA". It matches the Rfam family "Bacterial small subunit ribosomal RNA", at positions 509 to 807 of the family's 1533-position model. The record is from RNAcentral.
CAGCAGCCGCGGUAAUACGAAGGUCCCGAGCGAUGUUCGGAAUCACUGGGCGUAAAGGGAGCGUAGGCGGCGUGGUAAGUCAGAUGUGAAAUCCCGGGGCUCAACCCCGGAACUGCAUCCGAUACUGCCAUGCUAGAGGAUUGGAGAGGUAGCUGGAAUUCUUGGUGUAGCAGUGAAAUGCGUGGAGAUCAAGAGGAACACUCGUGGCGAAAGCGAGCUACUGGACAAUAACUGACGCUGAGGCUCGAAGGCCAGGGUAGCGAAAGGGAUUAGAUACCCCCGGUAGUCCCUGUCUCUUAUA